RNAcentral lists this ribosomal RNA (492 nucleotides) under uncultured bacterium. RNAcentral's name for it is "bacterial SSU rRNA". It matches the Rfam family "Bacterial small subunit ribosomal RNA", at positions 9 to 524 of the family's 1533-position model. The record is from RNAcentral.
GAGUUUGAUCGUGGCUCAGGACGAACGCUGGCGGCGCGCCUAAUACAUGCAAGUCGAACGGGCUGCCUUCGGGCAGCCAGUGGCGGACGGGUGAGUAACACGUGGGUGACCUGCCCCUGGAGUGGGGAAUAACGCUGCGAAAGCAGCGCUAAUACCGCAUCGGCUCAAUUCUUCGCUGAGUUGAGUAAAGCCUGGUGCGCUUCAGGAGGGGCCUGCGGCCGAUUAGCUAGUCGGGGGGGUAACGCCCACCGAGGCGACGAUCGGUAGCUGGUCUGAGAGGAUGAUCAGCCACACUGGGACUGAGACACGGGCCCAGACUCCUACGGGAGGCAGCAGUAAGGAAUCUUCCACAAUGGGGCGCAAGCCUGAUGGGGGCACGCCGCGUGCGCGAAGAAGCCCUUCGGGGUGUAAAGGCGCUUUUCCCAGGGAUGAAGUUCUGACAGUACCUGGGGAAGAAGCCUCGGCUAACUACGUGCCAGCCGCCGCCGUAAC